This 22-nucleotide microRNA is filed under the name Danio rerio (zebrafish). RNAcentral describes it as "dre-miR-93". Its record names the gene dre-miR-93. RNAcentral also lists the same sequence under 1 other name. Lineage: Eukaryota; Metazoa; Chordata; Actinopteri; Cypriniformes; Danionidae. The record is from miRBase by way of RNAcentral.
AAAAGUGCUGUUUGUGCAGGUA